UUGAACGCUGGCGGCAGGCUUAACACAUGCAAGUCGAGCGGGGGAAGGUAGCUUGCUACUGGACCUAGCGGCGGACGGGUGAGUAAUGCUUAGGAAUCUGCCUAUUAGUGGGGGACAACAUCUCGAAAGGGAUGCCAAUACCGCAUACGUCCUACGGGAGAAAGCAGGGGAUCUUCGGACCUUGCGCUAAUAGAUGAGCCUAAGUCGGAUUAGCUAGUUGGUGGGGUAAAGGCCUACCAAGGCGACGAUCUGUAGCGGGUCUGAGAGGAUGAUCCGCCACACUGGGACUGAGACACGGCCCAGACUCCUACGGGAGGCAGCAGUGGGGAAUAUUGGACAAUGGGGGGAACCCUGAUC
This 357-nucleotide ribosomal RNA is filed under the name Acinetobacter baumannii OIFC189. RNAcentral's name for it is "bacterial SSU rRNA". It matches the Rfam family "Bacterial small subunit ribosomal RNA", at positions 30 to 388 of the family's 1533-position model. The record is from RNAcentral. Lineage: Bacteria; Pseudomonadati; Pseudomonadota; Gammaproteobacteria; Moraxellales; Moraxellaceae.